This is a long non-coding RNA of Helicoverpa armigera (cotton bollworm), 350 nucleotides long. RefSeq lists it as uncharacterized. The record is from RefSeq and is a predicted model, not a curated record. The transcript is spliced from 2 exons. NCBI's taxonomy places the organism in Eukaryota, Metazoa, Arthropoda, Insecta, Lepidoptera, Noctuidae.
GAGAGGAGGCUGUGUCCCAGCAGUGGGAACAUUAGAAGGCUGAUGAUGAGUGUGUAAUUUUGAUAUUUUUAAUUUUCAGUUGUGAAUUAUGGGCAAAGUAUUGCUUCCCAAACGAAGCCUGGUCUUCACCAAAAUUCCAGGACGACUCCAUAAACAACAUAAGAUGCUAUGCAGCAAACAUUUCAAAAGCACAUGCUUUAAUGAGAAGAAGUUGUUCAGAACAGCUGUACCUGAUGUUCAAUGCCAAAAGGAUACAACAACUUCUAAUGUGCCAGAUCAAUCUGCCAUAUUUGAACCUGUUGCCGGUCCAUCCAGAAUGAAUCCUUUAACAGAACAUAAUGUAAACAUUA